UCCAGCGAUAGAAAUAUUUAAAGUUUUAAUUCUUAAAUUAAAUUGUUUUCCCAAGUUAAUCCAACAUAAAUUGGUCAUUGAAGUUUUUUUCGAUAUUUUACAUUUUUCAAGAAUUAUCAUCAUUAUCAUCCGAUUUCCAAUCUUGAAUUGAUGGUUGAAAUAAGAAAGAUGAGAAUAAAAUACAUUUAUCAUUAUCCUCUAUCUCAUAGGUACAAGUUGUACUGACUCUUCCAUUAGUAUUUAUUUUUUAUUUUUCAUUUUUAUUUAAAACUAAAUCAACUUCUUUAUGACAUAGUGUUUUCCAGCCUUUUUAUUAGUUAAUUUUAGCAAUGGGUAAUUCUAUGUGUAAAGCAUACAACGAUACACCACUUAUAAAAUUAAAUCUAAACUGCAUUUGUAUAAAAAGAUCCGAAAAUGAAAUUGACUAUCAUGAUAAUGUAGACAGUGAAAAAAUUAAAAGAUAAAGAAAAA
Long non-coding RNA from Xenia sp. Carnegie-2017, 471 nucleotides. RefSeq lists it as uncharacterized. The record is from RefSeq and is a predicted model, not a curated record. NCBI's taxonomy places the organism in Eukaryota, Metazoa, Cnidaria, Anthozoa, Malacalcyonacea, Xeniidae. The transcript has 2 exons.